Molecule: long non-coding RNA, 3508 nt
Organism: Esox lucius (northern pike)
Lineage: Eukaryota; Metazoa; Chordata; Actinopteri; Esociformes; Esocidae
Source: Ensembl
AUUAUGAAUUUGUUGCCAAUUUAAUGAAAAUGUAAAACUGAAGUCUCUUAUGUACAUAAGUAUUCAGACCCUUUGUCACUCCAAAUCAAUCUCAGAUGAAUUUUGUGUCCUUUGAUCAUCUUUGGGAUAUAUCUAGAACUUGAUUGGAGUCCACCUACUGCAAAUUCAAUGGAUUGAAAAUAAUUUACAAAAGGGCAUAUUCGCAGGUGCAUGUUAAAGCAUAGACCGAGUCUUAGGAACUCUGCUGCCCUUUUGAGAUAACAUUUUCUAGAGACACAAAUCUUAAAAAUAUUUGCUAAGGAAUUGGAAUUUGCAGGAUGACUGUGGGCUUAAUCAUUGUGAAAUAAAAGUUACCAACAACAAAACUCGUCCUAGAGCUGACUGUUUUGAACAAACUGAGUAACCAGACAAGAAGGGCCAUGAUCAGUGAGGUGAAUAAGAACCUAAUGGCCUGUUUAACAGCGCUUCGUCGUUGCUAUAUGGGAUGGAAGCUAUUUCAUCCCAUAUGACAUGCAGCCGAUUCUCUGGUUUAUUGAGACCCAUUGAGCCUGAAUGUAAAGCGUCUGGCAAAAACAAGGAACUGCGCAUAACCUAAUUAAUAACAUGAAGCAUCGUGGUGGAAGCAUCAUGCAGUGGGAAGGAUUUUAAGUAGCAGGAACCAGGAGAAUUCCUUGAAAACCUGAUUGCAUAGAACCUGAAACUGGGCGAAGAUUCAUCUUUUAGCGCUGCAAUGACCCGAAACACAGAUUAUGCUGUGUGGCCUUGUGACAAGUCUGUCUUUUAGUGACCCAGCCAAAUCCCAGACUUGGAAACCUAUUAAACAUCUAUGGGGAGACCUGAGGUUCGCAGUUCAUUGAUGCUCCCCAUCUGAUCUUACAGAGAUUUAGAGGAUCUGCAAGGACGAAUGGGAGAAACUUCCCAAAUCCACGUGUGCAAAGCUGGUAGAGACAAAACCAAGAAGAAUCGACGCUGUGAUCGCUGCCAAUAGGGCAUCUGAGAAGUACUGAAAAAUGGCUGAAUACCUUCACUAAAAAGAAUUCAAUAAAUUGUCACACAUUUCUAAUGUUUUUCACCUUUGUCAUUAUGGGGUACUGUGUGUAGAUUGAUGGCACAGAAAAUCUGUUCCAUUGUAAAUUCAGUCUAUAACAAAAUGGAGAAAAAAAGGGGUUCUGAAUCCUUUCUGAAAAUACUGUAUAAGACAUGCGAUUAAACUUGCCAUCAAAUCAUUUUUCCAUGUUUCUUCAAAGGAUUAACUACUUGUUUCAGUGUUGCUGGUCUAAAUGGAAACACUUUGUUCAAAGACAAAGUUGCCACUUACAUUUUAGUUGUUCUCAAUCCUGUGAACUACCGCAAGAUUAUUUCGAAGUGGUCUCUAUUUGGCUGUAACUCGUCAGUCUUCACCUAAGCAGCUGAUGCAAUAAACCUCAUGGCAGCGUGUGGUUGAGAUUUUUUGCCUCAGGUGUUACAAAGGCCUUUAACUGUCGCAUUCAUCAUUAGGAUAUAUCUAGAAUACAUCUGUAGCCCUAUUGCUUCAAAGUGGUUUGAUGUAGUGGUGGGAUGUAUGGUUACGGAUCGGUUUUCAAUUCUGUCAUAUCUCCUUGAUUCUGGUUCCCAUGGUAACAUGCACGUUCUGUACGACACCUGCUUUUUGCACGCACACACACACACACACACAGACACACAUUCCUUCAUGGCUUUUUGUGAUGUUAAAGACUGUAGUGCAUGACUUUGUUACUCUUACUGCUCUUCCAGCCACGUUUUCCCUUCUCGCUAAUUAUUACAGCUAAAAUGGCUCCUGGGCCCCUGGACGCCAUGUUGCGUGUGACGGGGGGAAGAGAAUUAGUCGCGCAAUGCCGUGGACGCAGUCCCCACCAAGGUAAAGCCCUCAGUCCCCGACCACGCCUGCACUUCGACCACACACUUCCCUCAUUGAACCCAUUCCUCCUGCACGACGAGGCACCCCAUCCUAUAAUUUUUUUGAGGUCUGUAAUUCUGGAGCCCAAUAAGACGUAAGGCCUGAAGAUGUCUGGCCAUAUCCAGUGUCUUGGUGAGGUGACUCUGCCCUCGUUUGAGUCCCAGUAUUGGGUAUAUCCAGGCACAUAGACUAUCUAGCCUUCGCAGACCCGUCUGACCUCGGUCAGGUUUCCUGUUAGAUAUGUCUGGAAAUAUCCAGCCUUUCCAUGGCUCUUUCUGAUGCCAUGUUCCAUAAGGGAAUUAGUCCAAUCACCCACUGUAGUCAGGGAUUUUUAUUUUCUUUGGUCCUGUUGAUGAAUUGUUUAGCCAAAUUGAAAUGAACUACAACGAUAUAAUGUCAACCAAUAAAUCCCUGACAGAUUUUCUUUGGGACGGGGGGGCUGUACUGAAACAAUUCUAGGAAAACCAUCCUGUUGUGAUUGAGGGUGACUAGAUUGGGCUAUUCUGGAUUUGUUGCGUAUGCUUGUGUUGUGGCAUAUUUCUCUGAGGUAUUUCCAGUGAGACAAGACUUGAAUUCACUCUCAAAACUGAGGUGUUCCAGCUGUGCUUUGAACGGCUAAGGACCCAGUGGCACGCUAAGGGCCAGAUGAACGGAGGGGAGGUAGGGCUAUCGACCUCAGUCCCCCGCAUGCUGGGUGAGUAACAAAUGCACCACCAACCGGCUCAAAUCCACCCACCCCCCCUCCUUCAGUCGGCAACACAACGUCCACCCCUCUCUGAUUCCAUAGCCACUAGAUCUACAGGCCCACAUUACCUAGACAAAGCUGUCCACAGCUGCGUUAGCUUAGAAGAUGUGGACAUGAAGAGGACAACUUUCGUCAUUCUCCUUUUCCCUGUCUAGUAACAUGAAACAUUUACAUCAAUCUUGUAGCGAACUUUGAAUGGGAACCAUAAUGUUACGUGAUUCAUUGAUUUUGUUUUGGUCUGUGGAACAGGCAGCCCGAUUCAGAUGUUUGUCUUUUAGUUGGAUUUUAAACCGAUCGUAUAUCUGGCCAAUUUGUUGGACAAAAGAUCUGAAUGGGGCUUCAUAUACUCUAAAAAGGCCACAAUAUUUUUAGUGAACACUUUGGAUUGCUGUUUUUCAGACUUCAGUGGCCUACCUCUAUGAAUGAGGGCUGGGUGCUGGACCAUAGCUGGACUGUAUUGGCCUACGAUACACUGCACAGUUUAUAACAAUGUUCCCCUUUUCACCUCUUACAUUCUGCACAAUCAGAACUAAUCACAUACUAAUAAAUCCAGUUCCCCCUUCCGCAAUCUUUUGUGCAACUUCUGAAAAUAUAUUCGACACACUUGAGCUCACGGAUUUAGACAAGUUGUAGGUAAGAUCAAGGCCUCAUUAGAAACCAGUGGAAAACGGCAGGUGGCCGAUUGGAUAACAAUGUAUUUGAAAGAUCGCCUGGAUUCUUAAUUGAGGAUGUUUUCAUUUUUGUCAAAUUAGUUUCAAUUCUCAGACAAUUGUACUCUGUUCUUUGUAAGACUUAAUAAAUGACAUUGAAACAAAUUGGUUGUGGAUAGCCUACUUUUUAAUGGGCAC